This 599-nucleotide ribosomal RNA is filed under the name Bacillus subtilis. RNAcentral describes it as "bacterial SSU rRNA". It matches the Rfam family "Bacterial small subunit ribosomal RNA", at positions 61 to 642 of the family's 1533-position model. Lineage: Bacteria; Bacillati; Bacillota; Bacilli; Caryophanales; Bacillaceae. The record is from RNAcentral.
GUCGAGCGGACAGAUGGGAGCUUGCUCCCUGAUGUUAGCGGCGGACGGGUGAGUAACACGUGGGUAACCUGCCUGUAAGACUGGGAUAACUCCGGGAAACCGGGGCUAAUACCGGAUGCUUGUUUGAACCGCAUGGUUCAAACAUAAAAGGUGGCUUCGGCUACCACUUACAGAUGGACCCGCGGCGCAUUAGCUAGUUGGUGAGGUAAUGGCUCACCAAGGCAACGAUGCGUAGCCGACCUGAGAGGGUGAUCGGCCACACUGGGACUGAGACACGGCCCAGACUCCUACGGGAGGCAGCAGUAGGGAAUCUUCCGCAAUGGACGAAAGUCUGACGGAGCAACGCCGCGUGAGUGAUGAAGGUUUUCGGAUCGUAAAGCUCUGUUGUUAGGGAAGAACAAGUACCGUUCGAAUAGGGCGGUACCUUGACGGUACCUAACCAGAAAGCCACGGCUAACUACGUGCCAGCAGCCGCGGUAAUACGUAGGUGGCAAGCGUUGUCCGGAAUUAUUGGGCGUAAAGGGCUCGCAGGCGGUUCCUUAAGUCUGAUGUGAAAGCCCCCGGCUCAACCGGGGAGGGUCAUUGGAAACUGGGGAACU